GCAGCAGUACUGCUGCAGCCUGAAGGCCGCAUCCAAGUCGCUCUGCCUCCUCUCGCUGCGUUCCUGCAGAGCCCCCCAGGCCCCCCCCAGUCUGUCCCGCAGCUCCCGGACGCCGUCGGCCUCGGGGCAGCGCACGGCGGCGGCGGCGGCGGCUCGAUCCAGGAGUUCGGCCACGCGGCAGCGCCGCGCCUGCAGCUCCCGGCGGAGGGUCUGUGGGGAUGGGGCCUUAAUCCCAAUCCUAAUCUCGAGAUCAUUCGGAAUCCCAAUCCUAAUCCCGACCCCGAGGCCAUUCGUAAUCCCGAUCUCAAUCCCAACCCUGAGACCAUUCACAAUCCCAAUCCUAAUCCUAAUCCCGAGACCAUUCAGAAUCCCAAUCCUAAUCCCGACCCCGAGGCCAUUCGUCAUCCCAGUUCUAAUCCCGACCUCAAUCCCAACCCUGAGGCCAUUCACAAUCCCGACCCCAAUCCCAUUCGUAAUCCUGACCUCAAUCCCGACCCCGAGACCAUUCAUAAUCUCAAUCCUAAUCCUAAUCCUGAGACCAUUCGUAAUCCCAAUCCUAACCCCAACCCCGAGACCAUUUGUAAUCCCAAUUCUAAUCCCGACCCCAAGGCCAUUUGUAAUCCCAAUUCUAAUCCCGACCCCACACCCAUUCGUAGUCCCAAUCCUAUUCCCAACCCUAAAACCAUUCAUAAUCCCGACCCCAAUCCCACUCAUAAUCCCAAUCCUAAUCCUGACCCCCAGACCAUUCAUAAUCCCAGUUCUAAUCCUUACCCCAAGGCCAUUUGUAAUCCCAGUUCUAAUCCCGACCCCAAUCCCAUUCGUAAUCCUGAUCUCAAUCCCAACCCCGAGACCAUUCAUAAUCCCAAUCCUAAUCCCAACCCUGAGACCAUUCAUAAUCCCAAUCCUAAUCCGGACCCCGAGGCCAUUCGUAAUCCUAGUUCUAAUCCCGACCCGGAGACCAUUCAUAAUCGCAAUCCUAAUCCUAAACCCAAGACCAUUCGUAAUCCCAGUCCUAACCCCAACCCCGAGACCAUUCAUAAUCCCAACCCUAAUCCUAAUCCCGAGACCAUUCGGAAUCCCAAUCCUAAUCCCGACUCCGAGGCCAUUCGUAAUCCCUAUCCUAAUCCUGACCCCGAGACCAUUCAUAAUCCCAAUCCUAAUCCUGACCCCGAGGCCAUUCGUAAUCCCAGUUCUAAUCCCGACCCCAAGACCAUUCAUAAUCCCGAUCUCAAUCCCAACCCUGAGACCAUUCAUAAUCCCGAGCCCGAGACCAUUCAUAAUCCCAAUCCUAAUCCUAACCCCGAGGCCAUUCGUAAUCCCAGUCCUAAUCCCAACCCUGAGACCAUUCGUAAUCCCAAUUCUAAUCCUGACCCCGAGGCCAUUCAUAACCUCAAUCCUAAUCCCGACCCCGAGACCUUUUGUAAUCCCAGUUCUAAUCCCAACCCCGAGACCAUUUGUAAUUCUGACCUCAAUCCCAACCCUGAGACCAUUCAUAAUCCCGACCCCGAGACCAUUCAUAAUCUCAAUCCUAAUCCUAAUCCUGAGACCUUUUGUAAUCCCAGUCCUAACCCCAACCCCGAGACCAUUCGU
Molecule: long non-coding RNA, 1590 nt
Organism: Phasianus colchicus (ring-necked pheasant)
Lineage: Eukaryota; Metazoa; Chordata; Aves; Galliformes; Phasianidae
Source: Ensembl